AUCUACGGCCAUACUACCCUGAACAAGCCCAAUCCCAUCUGAUCUCGGAAGCUAAGCAGGGUUGGGCCUGGUUAGUACUUGGAUGGGAGACCACCUAGGAAGACCAGAGGCUGUAGGUG
This 119-nucleotide ribosomal RNA is filed under the name Pteropus alecto (black flying fox). The record is from RNAcentral. Lineage: Eukaryota; Metazoa; Chordata; Mammalia; Chiroptera; Pteropodidae.